This 1030-nucleotide long non-coding RNA is filed under the name Olea europaea subsp. europaea. The record is from RNAcentral. Lineage: Eukaryota; Viridiplantae; Streptophyta; Magnoliopsida; Lamiales; Oleaceae.
AAAACAAUGGCUUUUUACCCUUUUUUUGCUUGUUGAGUUGAACCGACAGAUCUUCUUUGGGCAGUAAUUAUGCGCUUUCUGGCCCAACAACUCAGAUCCAGUGUAUUGAUAACGUGAUUUGUAGUUAUUCAAUUUUUGGCCUUUACCUUCAUUAUCUGAGAAGCCCUGGACGGUUAGAUCAAAAUGGAGAUCAAUGGUUGGUGAUGAGGGUAGAAAUAUUACCCUUAGUCGCCCCAUUAGGUCACAUUCUGUAUUCUGCCAUUUGGGUUGGUUUCCUGAUUCUUGUGUUCUUCUUUCAAACCUCUGGUUUCAAAAUUGAUUCUUCUGGUCUUCUUUAUGAAAUCUAAAUACUGAGUGUAUUUGUAAGAGAGUAAUAGCGUGAUUCCUUGUGACUUUCCUUUAAUCACAGAAGCAUACAAUUGAAUUUGGGACCUUUAUUUUUUUUUAGUUAUUGGUGCUUUUGGAGUUGUAUCACUUAUGGAGUGGAAGGAAAUGUAUGAUAUGCAAAGAUUCUAAAAGUACUUUGUGAUUCUAAAUAGAAGUCGUACGAAGGAUAGUUGGUCACAUCGAAUAUGGAUCGUAAGUGAAAGUCGGUGGCAUUCCUAGGGGUCAAGUUAGCUCUUGCUAACGUUAUGAUGUACUAUCUCCUUUGAACUUUUUGAGUGAACGGUGGCAUAAGAAAAAGAAAGAAGAUCAAUGAACUGACCCAUUCAUCUCCAACCAAGGAACUACGGGAUUUUAACACCAAUUGACCGUGAAAAAAAAUAAAAAUAAAAUAAAGAUGAAAAAUAAGUACCUGUACCUCCCCAUAAAGAUUCCAACCAAUCUCCCCUGCAUUAUGUGUGCACCACGAUAGAUGAUAUCUCCACUGGUUGGCAAUCUAAUACUAGGACGUUUAGUAUUAAAGCACCAUCAUUAGUCCCAUGACAUCUUAAGUCUUAAUACAGAUUUGGUGUGCGAAGUUAGGUCCAUACGAGUUUAAACCUGCUCCACGUUCAAGUGAAAGUCGUGUUUCCUUCUUCAAAUUUCC